This is a long non-coding RNA of Heterocephalus glaber (naked mole-rat), 537 nucleotides long. The record is from Ensembl. NCBI's taxonomy places the organism in Eukaryota, Metazoa, Chordata, Mammalia, Rodentia, Bathyergidae.
GUCUGUAUGUGCACGAGUGUCUGUGACAUGGUGUGGGACUGGCCGUGGGGUCCCGGACAAGCUGGGCCAGGGCUGUUGGUGCCCCAGGAAGGGAUGGUAGCUGCCUGCUGUGGCAGGGCCAGCGCAUCACACGGAGAGGAUCCCGAGCCUUCCUGUGACUGCAUCGCUGCCUCUGCUCUCUCUCGCUCUCAGGCAGGAAGCAGACAGGUUCUGAAUUGAUCUCCCUAGGAGAAUUUUAUCCCUCUUCAUCCUUCUUGGACACUACAGUCAAGUUCUUUCUUAGUUCUCUUGGACCAUUCUGAUUCUAGAAGGACUGACCACCCUGCUACAAUAGAUUGGAGAAUCCCUCAGAUCAGCAGGCCUGAGUAAAACCUCACUGCCAUCAAAGCACCAAAAAUGUGGGCAAAGAUAGCUUGGACUCUACCAGACCAUCUGCCAGCUGACACCAUUGAGUAACAUCCAUUGAUAUUGUGAGGAAGAAAUAAAUCAUCCAGCAGAUCUUGCCCCAAGUGCCCAACCCACAAAAUUGGGCAGGGG